UUAGCCCUAAACCACAAUAGUUAAAACAACAAAACUACUCGCCAGAAUACUACAAGCAACAGCUUGAAACUCAAAGGACUUGGCGGUGCUUCAUACCCUCCUAGAGGAGCCUGUCCUAUAAUCGAUAAACCCCGAUCCACCCCACCCUCUCUCGCUCAGCCUAUAUACCGCCAUCUUCAGCGAACCCUGAUAAAGGUCACAGAGUGAGCAUAAAUGCCCCUUUUUCGCAAAAACGUUAGGUCAAGGUGUAGCUAAUGAGAUGGUAAAGGAUGGGCUACAUUUUCUACCUCAGAAAACCCUACGAUAACUCUUAUGAAACCUAAGAGUCCAAGGAGGAUUUAGCAGUAAAUUAAGAAUAGAGUGCUUAAUUGAACUAGGCCAUAAAGCACGC
Molecule: ribosomal RNA, 391 nt
Filed under: Erythrocebus patas (red guenon)
Lineage: Eukaryota; Metazoa; Chordata; Mammalia; Primates; Cercopithecidae
Description: partial 12S ribosomal RNA
Rfam family: Bacterial small subunit ribosomal RNA
Source: RNAcentral